UGGAGAGUUGCCAUGUGAUCCCAGAGAGAGGGGUCCCACAUGUCAGGCGUCCUUGGAGUCUAGGUUCCCUGGCGUCCAGAAGACUAUGUCAGAUCCCCUGAAUAUCAAGUUAUAGGUGCUGAAAACCAUCUAAUACAGGUGCUGACUGAGAACCAAAUUGGGGUCCUAUACAAGUAUCUCGAAAGCCAAUUCCCCUCCAUCAUCUAGACUGCACAGAGACUAGAAUGACCCAGACCACAAGUUACAAGACAAAGAGACAAGGACAGAAAGUGACAGAGUUUCAACAGAAGCUGAAAUUGAGCUACAUCAUCUACAAUAGCACACAGCUUUUCUUGUCUUCAGCAUCUAGCUGAUGAACUCGGUUCUGUCAUUCAUAAUCCUAGCACAUCUGAGAGCCCCAAUCAUACCCUUCCCACCGUAUGGCAGGAAUGGAGGAAAGGACAGUCAUGCAACCCUCUGGAACCAGCUUAGUGUUUCAGUUAAUGCUUGCAGAGUGUCGUGAAUGGGAGUUAUCUUUGCUUUGUAAAAAGACU
RNAcentral lists this long non-coding RNA (533 nucleotides) under Cricetulus griseus (Chinese hamster). Its description in RNAcentral is "lncRNA (ENSCGRG00015039975.1)". Lineage: Eukaryota; Metazoa; Chordata; Mammalia; Rodentia; Cricetidae. The record is from RNAcentral.